AUUUUUUUCUUCAAAUUACUACUUACCUGAUCAUCUGGUUCUAUAAACCAAGCCCUAAUUCUUCCAAUUUUUCAAUUCAUUCCAAAAAUACUCCCCCAAAUCAAGAACCCGGCCUAGAUUCCAUGGUUUCGAGGAAAAAAGAAUCCGAAGGGAUUGCCUUGCUAUCCAUGUACGACGACGAAGACGACGAAGAUGACGAAGAGAUGGGAGACAUCGAAGAAGGUGAACAAGAACCAAACCAACAAGCUGGGGAACAAGAAGAGGAGGAAGAAGAAGAGCGGCAACCUUUAGAAGAAGAAAACGAGUAUGGAGAAUCAAUUAACAAUAUGGAAGACGAUUCGAGAACUAACUAUAAUACGCCGCUGUUUCCUCACCAAAGCACAUCUCUUCCGCAACAACAGCAGGAGCCUUCCGUUUCUUCGCCCCAGAAACAUCAACUUGUGGUUUCUUCGAAGAGAAGUAGAGGAGGAAGGAAAGGGAUUUAGGAAGUAAUUAUGACCUUAUGAUUGGUAUAGAGCACCAAAAUGCCAAUGGUGUUUUUCAAGGAAUAACGCUUCCGGCAGCUGUUCAAUUGACUCCACAAUCAUCGGAUUUAGAACGGAUACAGCCUGAGGUCUUAUGCUAAUAGUGAAUCAGAAGGUGUAGAAGUCGAAGAAGCAGUUUCCAUAGACAAUGUUGAUCCCUUGGAUAAGUUUCUUCCUCCUCCACCAAAAGCCAAAUGCUCAGAGGAGCUACAAAGGAAAAUAGAUAAAUUUCUCAGCUUGAAGCGAGUUUUGUUGGACAAGAAAACAAAACAUAUAAAAGGAGUCAAAUGAUGAACUUCUUGGAAGCACUGGUGUUGGAAGUGCAGGGUAAAUCUGAGCUGGGUUUUGAUAUCUUUUGGAUGUUAGGAAAGUUGGGAGCGUUGUUUGCAUCAAUACCUUUCACCAUAUUUGCUGCUGUGUAUUGCGUUUCGUUUGGUUACAUCGGUAUCAACACCUUUCACCGUAGGACUAUUAUUUACUAUAUUGUGUUGCAUUGCUUCUGACUAUGGCUCUAAUUGCUUUCCGCUUCCGUGGGGCUAUCAUUCUUGCAAUUGACCAACAUGAACUCCUUGAGAAACCUUUUUAUCUUUGGCGUCGCAUUGUCUUAGGUUUGUCGGUUCCCGAGUACUUUAGAGAAUAAACUGCCAAGGCUCUACACGGUCCUGCUGAUACCAGGGCUGGAUGGACAACACUUGACUAUAAAGACAAGGCCAGAGAUAGAGGAAUGCCAUGGUGGGCUAGUUUCCGAUCAUUCAAAGGUGAUUGCCGGAGUGAAGAGUUUUAUACACUCCCCUUCAUAGAUCAUCAUCAACAACAACAGUCGGUCGUUUGUAUAUUUUGGCUUGGAUUAUUUAGGUUUAAUCCGACAUCAAUUCGUUAUGCUUCGCACUAGUAAGGAUCGGUUAUUAAAUUAAAUUCUUUAUUAGGUGUAAUCUUGGCUUGCUGCUAGCUCUGACAGUGUUUGCAACAGUGACUUUGCACGAACUCUGUGAAUCAAUGUGCAAUGCACCUUUUGCCUUUGAGGAAUAUGAUAGUAUGUACAUUUUUCUAGCAAAACUGGGAAAAAUUACACUUGAGUCAAAGGAAUGAAACAAUAGAGCAGCAAGAACGAGUGCAGCUUCUUGGGUGUCAAAGGACAACUUCCCAACUUCUGCAACUCCACCAGAGAAACAAACCUACAAGCACCGGUGGUAGAAAGCUUGUAGAACCAUACCGAGUUCUUGGAGCGCUUGAUGAGCAGAGGUAUUUGGAUGAGCCUCUUGCAAGUUGCAACAUUGUCCUCUUCGGAUGAAAUAACGGGAGCUAAAUCUCGGAGCAGUUGUUUAUCCAACUGACGUUCGGCGGCAUCAUAUUUGAAUAUGUUGCCACCUGAUAUACUAGAAGGUUUUAUCUUGCAUUAGUUAAACAUGCAAAGAAAAUGCCACACUGCAGAUCAGGAGGUAAUGGAUCAAAGCUGAGACGGUUACCGAAUCCGAGGAAGUGAACAACUUUGUUCUUUGCAAGGAGGGGAAGUACUGUGCCGACAUAACCGUUAAGCUUUGCUUCCUUUGGUUUAUCUGCAUCAGUCAUCUGUAUUGAGGUUAACAGAAAACGGAACGCGAGAUUGGAUGUAUGAAAGCGAGAUUGGAUGUUUUAGACUUUCAAUGCAAUGCGGAAACUUAGAAGACAACUUAUAAGGCAUACCAAUGGCUUCAAUAUCUAAGGAAUUUAAAUGUGGAUGAAGUUCCGGCACAAUAUGUACAUCAUCCUUCGACAUAUCUUGGAUUUUAGUGUAGAAGUAACAUAUUCGGAUCCAUUU
RNA transcript from Hibiscus syriacus, 2322 nucleotides. It is a transcript of the gene named glutamic acid-rich protein-like, with no coding region annotated. The transcript is spliced from 7 exons. The record is from RefSeq and is a predicted model, not a curated record. NCBI's taxonomy places the organism in Eukaryota, Viridiplantae, Streptophyta, Magnoliopsida, Malvales, Malvaceae.